Molecule: antisense RNA, 75 nt
Filed under: Streptomyces leeuwenhoekii
Lineage: Bacteria; Bacillati; Actinomycetota; Actinomycetes; Kitasatosporales; Streptomycetaceae
Description: ASpks sRNA
Rfam family: ASpks TB sRNA
Source: RNAcentral
CUUCAGGGAUCCCAGCCACAGCGGGUGGUCCGCCGGCCUGUCCUGGCCGUAGGUGGCCAGGAGGGCGUGCGCCUC